AACGAACGUUGGCGGCGUGGAUUAGGCAUGCAAGUCGAACGGGAUUUGGGGGCAACUCCAAGUCUAGUGGCGAACGGGUGAGUAACGCGUGGGAAACCUACCCUCGAGUGGGGGAUAACACUCCCAACGGGGUGCUAAUACCGCAUAAGACCACGAAGUCGCAUGGCUUCGCGGUCAAAGGUGGGGAUCGAAAGACCUAUCGCUUGAGGAUGGUCCCGCGUCUGAUUAGCUAGUUGGUGGGGUAAUGGCCUACCAAGGCUCCGAUCAGUAGCUGGUCUGAGAGGAUGGUCAGCCACACUGGGACUGAGAUACGGCCCAGACUCCUACGGGAGGCAGCAGUCGAGAGGCUUCGGCAAUGGGGGAAACCCUGACCGAGCGACGCCGCGUGGGCGAUGAAGGCCGUUAGGUUGUAAAGCCCUGUCGUGUGGGACGAAUUCAGGAGGGUGAACAAUCCUUCUGUUUGACGGUACCGCAAAAGGAAGCUCCGGCUAACUCCGUG
RNAcentral lists this ribosomal RNA (499 nucleotides) under uncultured organism. RNAcentral describes it as "bacterial SSU rRNA". It matches the Rfam family "Bacterial small subunit ribosomal RNA", at positions 29 to 507 of the family's 1533-position model. The record is from RNAcentral.